AAUAUUGGACAAUGGGGGCAACCCUGAUCCAGCCAUGCCGCGUGUGUGAAGAAGGUCUUCGGAUUGUAAAGCACUUUAAGCGGGGAGGAAGGGGCUUUGGUUAAUACCCUGAACUCUGGACGUUACCAACCGAAUAACCACGGGCUAACUCUGUGCCAGCAGCCGCGGUAAUACAGAGGGUGCAAGCGUUGAUCGGAAUUACUGGGCGUAAAGCGCGCGUAGGUGGUUCAGUAAGAUGGGUGUGAAAUCCCGGGGCUUAACCUGGGAACUGCUUUCAUAACUGGUGAGCUAGAGUACGGUAGAGGGUAGUGGAAUUUCCUGUGUAGCGGUGAAAUGCGUAGAUAUAGGGAGGAACACCAGGGGCGAAGGCGACUACCUGGACUGAUACUGACACUGAGGUGCGAAAGCGUGGGGAGCAAACA
Molecule: ribosomal RNA, 422 nt
Filed under: uncultured bacterium
Lineage: Bacteria
Description: partial 16S ribosomal RNA
Rfam family: Bacterial small subunit ribosomal RNA
Source: RNAcentral